Molecule: long non-coding RNA, 103 nt
Organism: Tribolium castaneum (red flour beetle)
Lineage: Eukaryota; Metazoa; Arthropoda; Insecta; Coleoptera; Tenebrionidae
Rfam family: Sphinx_ conserved region 1
Source: Rfam
AGAAAAUGGGUUUCGGCGAUUAUCCAGCGGAGUACGACCCUAAAGUCCACGGGCCGUACGACCCUGCACGUUUUUAUGGCAAAGGUGAUAAGAAAUUUGCGCC